AUUGAACGCUGGCGGCAGGCCUAACACAUGCAAGUCGAGCGAGCGGCGGACGGGUGAGUAAUGUCUGGGAAACUGCCUGAUGGAGGGGGAUAACUACUGGAAACGGUAGCUAAUACCGCAUACCAUCAGAUGUGCCGAGAUGGUAUUAGCUAGUAGGUGGGGUAACGGCUCACCUAGGUGACGAUCCCUAGCUGUUCUGAGAGGAGGACCAGCCACACGGGAACUGAGACACGGUCCAGAAGCCAACGGGAGGCAGCAGUGGGGAAUAUUGCGCAAGGAGCGGAAGCCUGAUGCAGCGACGCCGCGUGGGGGAUGACGGCCUUCGGGUUGUAAACGCCUUUCACCAUCGACGCGGUAGAUGGAGAAGAAGCACCGGCUAACUACGUGCCAGCAGCCGCGGUAAUUC
RNAcentral lists this ribosomal RNA (406 nucleotides) under uncultured bacterium. Its description in RNAcentral is "partial 16S ribosomal RNA". It matches the Rfam family "Bacterial small subunit ribosomal RNA", at positions 29 to 526 of the family's 1533-position model. The record is from RNAcentral.